UACGUAGGGUGCAAGCGUUAAUCGGAAUUACUGGGCGUAAAGCGUGCGCAGGCGGCUUUGCAAGACAGAUGUGAAAUCCCCGGGCUCAACCUGGAAACUGCAUUUGUGACUGCAAAGCUAGAGUACGGUAGAGGGGGAUGGAAUUCCGCGUGUAGCAGUGAAAUGCGUAGAUAUGCGGAGGAACACCGAUGGCGAAGGCAAUCCCCUGGACCUGUACUGACGCUCAUGCACGAAAGCGUGGGGAGCAAACAGG
RNAcentral lists this ribosomal RNA (253 nucleotides) under uncultured bacterium. RNAcentral describes it as "partial 16S ribosomal RNA". It matches the Rfam family "Bacterial small subunit ribosomal RNA", at positions 524 to 776 of the family's 1533-position model. The record is from RNAcentral.